UCUCUCUCUCAUAUUCAUAUAUAAGUAAUGUUGGAAUCUUGUCCAUCUCUGUACAAUUGAGAUAAUGAGGGGCUUAAUGAAGCAAAUAUAGUGUCUCAUAUUCAUAUAUAAGUAAUGUUGGAAUCUUGUCCAUCUCUGUACAAUUGAGAUAAUGAGGGGCUUAAUGAAGCAAAUAUAGUGACAUGUAGUAGGUAAUAUUUUCUCCAAGAUUUUAAGAAUUAUAUGAAAAUUAUCAUCAAGAAAUUAGAAGUAGCCCCCCUUUUGGCACAUGUGGUCAUUUUUUUAAAAUAAUAUUUCCAAUAUCGUAUUAACAAAAAAAAUAAAGACUAGAGAUAAAAAAUAAGGAUGUGGUUUGUAUAAGGUUGUGGCCCUAAAUAAUAAAAGUAAGGUGCACAUUCAAUAGUAUUUAAAGAUGUUGGUUAAGUACAGAAAAUCUUUAUGAUUGCCAAAAAAUUUACUUUUAUAUUUAACUAUGAAAUUUAAAGCUUAAAAAAUAGUGUCGAUCGAGCAAAUCUAUAUAUACUUGAAAAUCUUAAACGUUGAUGGUCCUAAAAAUGCAUUACAAGAUGUACUAUUUUCAACACUUGAAAUCCAGAGAGAGUAGACAUAGGUGUAGAUACCUCGAACCUGAUGGAGAAAAUCAUGGAAGACCAAAAAUCCUCGGGCAGGCCAUCUAGAAACUUGAACUCAUCAUAAGCCAAUGGUAAGAAGGAAAAAGGGAAUAAAAGUCGCAAGAAGAAGAGGAGCCUUGCUCAAUCAUUCCCAAGUACAAAAAGAAAAAGAUAUCUUCUAUCACAUGACUCACCAUAGGUUUCAACAUGGUUUGGUGGUUUUCCCAUGGUUAUACACAUAAUUUUCAACAUGUUUUGGUGGUUUCUCCAUGGUUAUACACAGUUUUCAACAUGGUUUGAUGGUUUUCCCAUGGUUAGAUUCAUGUAAUAUGGUUUUCAACAUGGUUUGGUGGUUCUCAUGGUUAGACUCAUAUGAUAUGGUUCUUUGGGCUUGGUUAAACUCAUCUAAUAUGGUUGUUUGAGUUGGACUUGUGAAGGGACUGCACAAUUUUGAGCUAGUUGUUUUCUUAUGUUCCAUUUAAGUUGAAUUUGUAGGAGAACUUUGGUUGUAAUUUAUGUUCCAUUAUUAUUUUAAUUGAUG
RNAcentral lists this long non-coding RNA (1152 nucleotides) under Amborella trichopoda. RNAcentral describes it as "long non-coding RNA (ATRI_LNC005352)". The record is from RNAcentral. Lineage: Eukaryota; Viridiplantae; Streptophyta; Magnoliopsida; Amborellales; Amborellaceae.